Non-coding RNA from Vicugna pacos (alpaca), 72 nucleotides. The record is from the annotation of a RefSeq genome assembly. NCBI's taxonomy places the organism in Eukaryota, Metazoa, Chordata, Mammalia, Artiodactyla, Camelidae.
GGAGCUAUAGCUCAGUGGUAGAGCAUAUGCUUCGCAUGCACCAGGCCGUGGGUUCAAUCCCCAGUAGCUCCA